UUAGUGGCGAACGGGUGAGUAACACGUGGGCAAUCUGCCCUUCACUCUGGGACAAGCCCUGGAAACGGGGUCUAAUACCGGAUAACACUCUGUCCUGCAUGGGACGGGGUUAAAAGCUCCGGCGGUGAAGGAUGAGCCCGCGGCCUAUCAGCUUGUUGGUGGGGUAAUGGCCUACCAAGGCGACGACGGGUAGCCGGCCUGAGAGGGCGACCGGCCACACUGGGACUGAGACACGGCCCAGACUCCUACGGGAGGCAGCAGUGGGGAAUAUUGCACAAUGGGCGAAAGCCUGAUGCAGCGACGCCGCGUGAGGGAUGACGGCCUUCGGGUUGUAAACCUCUUUCAGCAGGGAAGAAGCGCAAGUGACGGUACCUGCAGAAGAAGCACCGGCUAACUACGUGCCAGCAGCCGCGGUAAUACGUAGGGUGCGAGCGUUGUCCGGAAUUAUUGGGCGUAAAGAGCUCGUAGGCGGCUUGUCACGUCGGAUGUGAAAGCUCGGGGCUUAACUCCGAGUCUGCAUUCGAUACGGGCUAGCUAGAGUGUGGUAGGGGAGAUCGGAAUUCCUGGUGUAGCGGUGAAAUGCGCAGAUAUCAGGAGGAACACCGGUGGCGAAGGCGGAUCUCUGGGCCAUUACUGACGCUGAGGAGCGAAAGCGUGGGGAGCGAACAGGAUUAGAUACCCUGGUAGUCCACGCCGUAAACGUUGGGAACUAGGUGUUGGCGACAUUCCACGUCGUCGGUGCCGCAGCUAACGCAUUAAGUUCCCCGCCUGG
RNAcentral lists this ribosomal RNA (772 nucleotides) under Streptomyces sp. RNAcentral's name for it is "bacterial SSU rRNA". It matches the Rfam family "Bacterial small subunit ribosomal RNA", at positions 92 to 876 of the family's 1533-position model. The record is from RNAcentral. Lineage: Bacteria; Bacillati; Actinomycetota; Actinomycetes; Kitasatosporales; Streptomycetaceae.